UGGGGAAUAUUGCACAAUGGGGGAAACCCUGAUGCAGCAACGCCGCGUGAGUGAUGACGGCCUUCGGGUUGUAAAGCUCUGUCUUCAGGGACGAUAGUGACGGUACCUGAGGAGGAAGCCACGGCUAACUACGUGCCAGCAGCCGCGGUAAUACGUAGGUGGCAGGCGUUGUCCGGAUUUACUGGGCGUAAAGGGAGCGUAGGCGGACUUUUAAGUGAGAUGUGAAAUACCCGGGCUCAACCUGGGUGCUGCAUUUCAAACUGGAAGUCUAGAGUGCAGGAGAGGAGAGUGGAAUUCCUCGGGUAGCGGUGAAAUGCGUAGAGAUUAGGAAGAACACCAGUGGCGAAGGCGACUCUCUGGACUGUAACUGACGCUGAGGCUCGAAAGCGUGGGGAGCAAACA
Molecule: ribosomal RNA, 402 nt
Filed under: uncultured bacterium
Lineage: Bacteria
Description: bacterial SSU rRNA
Rfam family: Bacterial small subunit ribosomal RNA
Source: RNAcentral